AAAUAGCCCUCCUAUAAGACCGUACCCUAAACCGACACAGGUGGACUGGUAGAGCAUACCAAGGCGCUUGAGAGAACGAUGUUGAAGGAACUCGGCAAAAUACCUCCGUAAGUUCGCGAGAAGGAGGCCCGGUUCCUAGGCAACUAGGGGCUGGGGGCACAAACCAGGGGGUGGCGACUGUUUAUUAAAAACACAGGGCUCUGCGAAGUCGCAAGACGACGUAUAGGGUCUGACGCCUGCCCGGUGCCUGAAGGUUAAAAGGAGAGGUGAGAGCCUUGAAUUGAAGCCCAGGUAAACGGCGGCCGUAACUAUAACGGUCCUAAGGUAGCGAAAUUCCUUGUCGGGUAAGUUCCGACCUGCACGAAUGGCGUAACGACUUCCCCGCUGUCUCCAACAUCGACUCAGCGAAAUUGAAUUGCCUGUCAAGAUGCAGGCUUCCCGCGGUUAGACGGAAAGACCCCGUGCACCUUUACUACAGCUUCGCACUGGCAUCAGGAUUGUGAUGUGCAGGAUAGGUGGUGGGCUUUGAAGCAGAGACGCAAGUCUUUGUGGAGCCUCCCUUGAGAUACCACCCUUCGCACUCUUGAUGUCUAACCGCGGUCCGUUAUCCGGAUCCGGGACCCUGCGUGGCGGGUAGUUUGACUGGGGCGGUCGCCUCCUAAAGCGUAACGGAGGCGCGCGAAGGUUGGCUCAGAGCGGUCGGAAAUCGCUCGUUGAGUGCAAUGGCAGAAGCCAGCCUGACUGCGAGACUGACAAGUCGAGCAGAGUCGAAAGACGGCCAUAGUGAUCCGGUGGUCCCGAGUGGAAGGGCCAUCGCUCAACGGAUAAAAGGUACGCCGGGGAUAACAGGCUGAUACUGCCCAAGAGUCCAUAUCGACGGCAGUGUUUGGCACCUCGAUGUCGGCUCAUCUCAUCCUGGGGCUGGAGCAGGUCCCAAGGGUACGGCUGUUCGCCGUUUAAAGAGGUACGUGAGCUGGGUUUAGAACGUCGUGAGACAGUUCGGUCCCUAUCUGCCGUGGGUGUAGGAGACUUGAGAGGAGUUGCCCCUAGUACGAGAGGACCGGGGUGAACGAUCCACUGGUGGACCAGUUGUCGUGCCAACGGCAGUGCUGGGUAGCUAUGAUCGGACAGGAUAACCGCUGAAGGCAUCUAAGCGGGAAGCCCCCCUCAAAACAAGGUCUCCCUGAGGGCCGUGGAAGACCACCACGUCAAUAGGCCGGAGAUGUAAGCGCAGUAAUGCGUUCAGUUGACCGGUACUAAUCGCCCGAUAGGCUUGAU
RNAcentral lists this ribosomal RNA (1278 nucleotides) under Ruegeria atlantica. Its description in RNAcentral is "bacterial LSU rRNA". It matches the Rfam family "Bacterial large subunit ribosomal RNA", at positions 1623 to 2925 of the family's 2925-position model. The record is from RNAcentral. Lineage: Bacteria; Pseudomonadati; Pseudomonadota; Alphaproteobacteria; Rhodobacterales; Roseobacteraceae.